RNAcentral lists this long non-coding RNA (386 nucleotides) under Theobroma cacao (cacao). RNAcentral describes it as "long non-coding RNA (TCAC_LNC000751)". Lineage: Eukaryota; Viridiplantae; Streptophyta; Magnoliopsida; Malvales; Malvaceae. The record is from RNAcentral.
AGGUUUGUGAACUUGAUCUCCCGGAUUUGUUUCUAUUCAUCACGUUUAUCCUUCUUGUAGCACUCGAUGAUCAAUUGAUUAUAUUCUGGUAAUUCUUCAGCACUACAAAAUAACUGGCCCAGAGCUAGGGGUAUCCACCCUUGCAGAUGCCAUAACAUGUCGAAUUGCUGCUCGGGAUGCUUUAUGAGAACGGUGAAGUUGCUGUCUUAUCUUCAUCCUUUCGUUGUUUUUCUGGCUUCCUAUGCUUCUCUUGUCUUUCAGUAAUGAGGAUUAGUGUUCUGUAAUUACAAUGUCGAUUCACGAGGCAUUGCUUCUUAGGGGAUGGAGCGAAAGAAAUGGCAACGCCGAAGUAUUUGUGGUUAAACAGUUCUGGUUAAAAUGCUUGG